GACGGAAUAGUUUAGUGGUAGAACAUCCGAAUCAUAAUCGGAAUGUCGUAGGUUCAAUUCCUACUUCCGUCA
Molecule: transfer RNA, 72 nt
Filed under: Stachyamoeba lipophora
Lineage: Eukaryota; Heterolobosea; Gruberellidae
Description: tRNA-Met
Rfam family: tRNA
About the family: Transfer RNA (tRNA) molecules are approximately 80 nucleotides in length. Their secondary structure includes four short double-helical elements and three loops (D, anti-codon, and T loops).
Source: RNAcentral